ACUCCUACGGGAGGCAGCAGUGGGGAAUAUUGCACAAUGGGCGCAAGCCUGAUGCAGCCAUGCCGCGUGUAUGAAGAAGGCCUUCGGGUUGUAAAGUACUUUCAGCAGUGAGGAAGGCGGGUACGUUAAUAGCGUGCUCGUUUUGACGUAGCUGCAGAAAGAAGCACCGGGCUAACUCCGUGCCAGCAGCCGCGGUAAUACGGAGGGUGCGAGCGUUAAUCGGAAUUACUGGGCGUAAAGCGCAUGCAGGUGGUUUGUUAAGUCAGAUGUGAAAGCCCGGGGCUCAACCUCGGAAUAGCAUUUGAAAACUGGCAGACUAGAGUACUUAG
RNAcentral lists this ribosomal RNA (329 nucleotides) under uncultured bacterium. RNAcentral's name for it is "bacterial SSU rRNA". It matches the Rfam family "Bacterial small subunit ribosomal RNA", at positions 335 to 653 of the family's 1533-position model. The record is from RNAcentral.